UCUCCUUCCAAGCACUACUUCCUCUUUCCACAAACUAUUUUCUCCUUAGCCUGUCUGACACUUGGACUGCACUAAAAUAAUCAUCAUUUCACUCAUUUAAUACAUGAAUGCUUGAUCUUUGUAAGAAAGAAAAACAAUCAGUCAAACAUGCAGUUUAAUAAAAAGAAAACAAUCAAUUUAAAUACACAAUUAAAGAGCUCUUUAUGUUAUCUUUUUUAUGUAAUACCUUUAAUUUCCAAAUUAUCUCUUAAUUUGUGAAUGGUAGAGAAUAUGGUUGAGCUCACUACACCACCGAUUUUAGAGGUAUUUUGACACCCCCUUCUUGAGGUCAACCAGAUUCGACAGCCAAGGUCCCUGCAGGACCCCAGAACAGUCCAUCCAGAGUUUUCAGUUAACCAUAUGAAUCAAACCCUUAAGAUUGUGACUCCCCACUCAAAACAAUUGACCUUACCCUAGGGAAAUUAAUGUUACAUGAUUAUAAAAUUGAAGAGAAAAAAUCUUGGCAG
Molecule: long non-coding RNA, 506 nt
Organism: Fundulus heteroclitus (mummichog)
Lineage: Eukaryota; Metazoa; Chordata; Actinopteri; Cyprinodontiformes; Fundulidae
Exons: 2
Source: RefSeq, a predicted model, not a curated record